RNAcentral lists this ribosomal RNA (235 nucleotides) under uncultured bacterium. Its description in RNAcentral is "partial 16S ribosomal RNA". It matches the Rfam family "Bacterial small subunit ribosomal RNA", at positions 118 to 348 of the family's 1533-position model. The record is from RNAcentral.
UGGGUAAUCUGCCCUCGAUUCUGGGAUAGCCCGGGGAAACCCGGAUUAAUACCGGAUAGCCUCUCGAGCUUACGAGCUCGUGAGAAAAGGUAGCUUCGGCCUCCGAUCGAGGAUGAGCCCGCGGCGGAUUAGCUUGUUGGUGGGGUAAUGGCCUACCAAGGCGACGAUCCGUAGCUGGUCUGAGAGGAUGAUCAGCCACACUGGGACUGAGACACGGCCCAGACUCCUAGGGAGG